RNAcentral lists this ribosomal RNA (230 nucleotides) under uncultured bacterium. Its description in RNAcentral is "partial 16S ribosomal RNA". It matches the Rfam family "Bacterial small subunit ribosomal RNA", at positions 562 to 791 of the family's 1533-position model. The record is from RNAcentral.
AAAGGGUCCGUAGGCGGCCUUAUAAGUCAGUGGUGAAAUCUCCCGGCUCAACCGGGAAAUUGCCAUUGAUACUGUAGGGCUUGAAUUACUAGGAAGUAACUAGAAUAUGUAGUGUAGCGGUGAAAUGCUUAGAGAUUACAUGGAAUACCAAUUGCGAAGGCAGGUUACUACUAGUGGAUUGACGCUGAUGGACGAAAGCGUGGGUAGCGAACAGGAUUAGAUACCCUAGU